UCUGCCUUUCACUAAUACACACAAGCUAAUUAGCCCCUCUGUUUGUUUAUGUUAUCCUCUAUCUGCUGUUGCAACCUUUUACAAUGUUCUCCUUACCUAUUCAACACAAACGAACCACUAUGUCGGAAGCACAAUAAGUGAUAUGAGUAUAUUCAUCGCCCACGCAAAGCAAGCUCAAUCCAAAAGUUCAAAGGCAAGAAAAUCCAUCUAAAGCCCGGAAAGUUCAUUCUCCGUGGUGAGCCUUGCAAGCACUACUUAGAUGAGUUUAGUCGCCACGUUGUGUGGGGCAACACAGUUAGGCUCUACAACCAUAAUGUUCGUGCACUGCAAAAGAUCAUCCGCAGCACCACCACGCCUAAUAACUACUAUGUGUGCCACAUGACAGAAACAUUUGCAACACAAGGCAAAAGAAUGUACUUUAAUGUCCACUUUUCUAUGGGUUCCCUUUUUCCACACAUGGAUGCUGACCACGAUGAACUUACAAUCACAACUGGAGAUGGAACAACCACUAUCACGGUCCGCUUUAUCAAGGGAGUUGACAAAAGGGCCACCAUCACUAAAGGCUGGAGCAACUUCUUCCGUCGGACCCACAUGAACGAAGGGCAAGCAUAUGCUUUCGGCUUCAAAUGCACUUCCAAGGGAUUGCACCUGAUUGUCUACUCAAUAUAAGCAAGUUGCAGGAGCCCCUUUCUAUAUAACAUAGUAUUAGUAUAAAUGCCUACAAAGACAUCUAUGUUUAUCCUCCUUUUCGAUCUUAUGUAAUCCCCUAAGACAAUGUUGUGCAUUUAGC
Molecule: long non-coding RNA, 790 nt
Organism: Triticum dicoccoides
Lineage: Eukaryota; Viridiplantae; Streptophyta; Magnoliopsida; Poales; Poaceae
Exons: 3
Source: RefSeq, a predicted model, not a curated record